GAGCAACAGAAGACUGACCGCCUCAAAAUUUGAUCAAAAUGAACCUGAGAUCAGGAAGAAACUGUGAAGAACGAACAUGGAAGCAAAAGCAGAACCAAAGAAAAUCAUCAUGGGAGGACACAGAGAUUCCUACAAGAGGAAUUUAGGCAAGGAAUGCUGGGCGAGAAGCUCUGUUCCCACUGACAGGCAGGCAGGGGAAAGGUAACAAACAGAUGCAGGUACUCGGCAGUGCAGAUGCCAAGUGAGACGCUGCUGGUGGCGAAACAGGCAGCGCAGACAAGUCAGACUUUUCUAGCAUCCAAACAAGUAAUGGAAACAAGUUCUGCUGCAUAAAUUCUGGUAUGAAUUAACAUUUCUCAUGCUUAAGAGGCUAGCAGGCUCCUUUCACAUCUACAUGGGAAAGAAGCAGAUUCACCCAACUAUCUUAGCAACUCUUCGUGAUACCGAAGGAAGAGCGGUGCUGUGCCAACAGAAGCCUUGGAAAAGGAAACAGCCUCCCAUUUGCACAGCCCUCCCAGGACGCCUGCGGCCCGCCCAGCUACAGCCACCCUGAGCCAGACCAUCUUCAGGAACUCGUAUGUCCGCAGCACAGCUACUGCCACAACCUGCACACCUGCCUCUGUCAUAUCUGCCCAUCUAGCAACAGACUGCUGAUGUACAUUGGCACCACGCUGCCUGCUUACUGCUCUCAGAGAACUGAAUGCCAUCUAAAAGUCCUUCACCCUGCAAGCUCAUCACAGCCAGGCUCUGCAGGACAGCUAGAUCCAAUAAACUGGGAGCAAGCCUGAAUUAUGGAGACAACACAGAGGCCUGCAGUAAGUUCCCGAGAUUCCUUCGUACAGGAACGCCCAGCGGGUGUCUUCAAAAAGGUGUCACAGAAGGUGCCAGAACGCCCAAGAGAGAAAACAGAUGGGGACGAUCAUCCCCAUCCGACGAACAUCGGCAUUUCUGGGUCUGAUUUUGUUAGAAGUGCAUCAGCACAAUAAAUCCACAUGCUAUAAAUGGUGGUUGCUUUCAACCACCAGUCAUUUAGAGAACAUCGUUCCUACUGGCAGCAAAACAAGGUUAGCAUAUCCUCUUAAAUGGAGAUCAAAGACCCGAUUCCUUAAACAAAAGCUGGUGAUUUUUAAAGACCUGAGUGAUUCCUUUAAUUAAGCACGACAACCCGGCGUUCCCUCGUGGGUGAGCAGAGAUCUGCAGAGCUAAUCUCUCCCAGCCCCUGAAAGUCACCUGUUAAGUAGCCAGAGGAUACAUCAGAGCCGAGGCUGGAGACAAGAACCAGAGGCAGCACCGCACGGCUGCAGCGGACUAGCAUCAGAAUUGCUUUUCAAAACACAAGUUUGCUUACAGAACGAAGUGUCCUACGAGCCCCUUUGGGUCAGACCCGGUGCAGACUCCGCACCGUGACGAGGCUCAGAAGCACGCUAUUCACCAAGCAUGGAGAAUCAAAGCAGCAACCACAGCACGCAACCCCCCAGACAAAGCCGUAUAGCAACGAAUCGGUCACAUCGUGUGCUCCGGCAGCCCCCGCGGCUCUCGGGCGAGGCGGGGAGCGGCGCCCCACGAGCGCGCUGCAGGGGCCGCUCCAGCCCGGCGCAGCCUCCGCUCUCCACUCAUCCCUCGAUUCGGAGCCAGCCAGCUCGCUAACUUUCCCGACUCACCACCCCAUGGACCAGAAACUCAAAAAGUUUGCUUUUCGUAGCUUUGCGAGCCCCUCCUGUAACUUCGUCUGUAGCCAUCGGGGUCUGCUCAGCCUCUCUCACUCUCUCUCUUCCUCUUUCUUUCCCUUUUCUGCCUUUUUCUCCAACUCUCCCCUCUGAGUCCUGCUGGGCUCUCACACUUCUAAUAGCGCGGAGUGGGGAGGGGGCCCCUUCAGGGCCUUCCUGACGGCCCACUCGCGCUCGGCCUCAGCUGCUGCAUUCCUCCACUGAUAAGCCAGAAAUAGUUUGCGCUGCCGGGCUGUGCGUGUUUACUCUGCGGGGACAGAAAAUCCCGCUUUUUAAACCUCUCUGUCCAAACACCCGAGAUAAGCGGGAGGCAAAUCGAAAACACGUCCCGGCCCCUCGCGGCAGAGCUGCAGCCGCUCCUCCUGGGCGCAGGGGAUGGUAAAUUCUGGGGCAAGGGGGAGGGGGCGGCCUCGGCAGCGGCACCAGCCCGGCUCCCGGGGAGUUUUCCCAUCAGAACAUGCAGCGGGCGGGCGGUGAGAAACAAUGGCUCCCCCCGUUCGCAGCGCUCCGCCCGCGCCGCGCUCCAGGCCCCGUCCCCGGGGACCGCCGGCAGCGCGCAAACGUUCGCUGGCGGCGGUUCCAGCGCGAGGCUGAGAACGGUCCCUCCGGCGAUAGAGGCUGCGGGAGGCGGAGGGCCAGGAGCGGGAAGGGAGAGCGCGGGGGCGAAGGGAUGGCGGGCGUGCGAGGAGCGGGGGCGGCGGGCAGCAUGGCGGCGGCGGCCCCGCCCGAGGCGAUCUGGCCCCACUCUGACGGAUCCGUUAGCGGCACGCGUGAUUGACGGCCGCAGUCCCUGCGAUCACCGCAGCUGCGGUCAGGCAGCCGCAGCUCCUCGCUCAGAGCCCCGCGCAGCACCCCGAGACCCCGCGGGCCCGUCCGGGGGGGAAGGGGCCUCUCCGGCGCUCCAGAUCUCGGCGGCCCCUCCGUGAUGGAGGGCGGCAGUAACCUCUCCGCGAUGCGGAGUGGCAGUGCCACCUCCCGUGACGGCACAGCAGCGUGGCCAGGGGGGCUCUGCUCGCCACGGUGUGCGCGGCUGGCGGGGGCUGUUGUCUGCCGUCUGCCUGAUACAGUGAUAGCGAUGCCGCCAAGCUACGGGAGGGGUUUGUUCUGUUCCUCUCCUUGAGAUUCUUGUCUAUGGACUCUGUAUUUUCUGGCAAAGCUGCAAACAGAAGGGAAUCAGAACUGAACUGAAUAAAAUCGCUGCCCUCACCCAGUGGUUAAAAACAAGCACGGGAAAGACACUGAAUCGGCCAGCAGUGAAGAACGGACCGUGGAGAUCACACGGCAUGGUGCGCGCAGGGACUCGGGAACAGCCGCUGCUGAUGUUCAAGGUGACCCCAACCCAGGCAGCGCCGUGCAGGAUGCCACAGGAAUUGCAGCGCUUGGGCGUGUGGGUGCUGCUAUCGACGCCCUCCCCCUUCCGCUCGGUCAGACACACCCAGCGCAGCAGCACAGCCUCGUUCGGGGCAUGGACCAAACUGCUGCUGCGGCUGCGGCCAACCCGAGCCGGCUGCACGUGCGGUCUGGAACCGAGCUGCUGUGUGUCAGCAUGGCGGCGCUGCCCCGUGCAGCGAGGCUCAGGUCCCAGAAGCACGCGGUGACAUCGGCUCCCAUCUUGCGAUCCCUUUUGUGCCCCCAGCAGACGACGUGUCUUCUCUCUGCAGACUGCGCUGCGCAGGGCGCACCGCUUCCCCCGCAGCAGCGCUGCUGACACAAAGCCGCAUCCGCCGCUAUUCCCACUGCUAAAGGGAGCCGCGUCCCCGCCCUCGUUCUACCGAACGGCACCGAACGCGGUGCUCGAGCACAGCGCGGCUCCCUGGGGAAGGCUCUGGGCAAACAGCUUCGGAGCCGCUGCGCCGACCGCAAAGGGCACAGUGGUCACCGGACGGGGCCCGCCGCCGCCCUCGGCCCCGGAGCCCGCGGCCUCCUCAGAUCGGGCCCGGCACUCAGGGCGCGGCUCUGGUGCGGCGCGGCGCGCGGUCCCCCCUCGAGUCCCCCCGCGCUCCUCCGCCAGCACCGUCGGCACCGAAUGGCCACGGCGCGCCCGGCACGGGCAGGGCGUGCGCCAGCCGCGAGCCCGGAUGGGCGGCGGGCCGGGUUCGGGCCGAGCCCCCCCCCCCCCAGGUCCGCGCCGAACCCAAGCGGGCCGCGGCCGGGCAGAUCGCGGCUCCUGGGAGCCCCAGCCGACGGUGCGCAUGCCCGACGCGGCUCCGUGAAGGUCAGCCGCGGCCUCGCGGGGACGCGCGGGCGGGGGCGGCCGGGCCGCGGUAGGGAACGGCCUUAACCCUUUCCGCGCCGCGUCCGCGUCGAGCGGCGCCCCGGGAUGCGACCGCCGUGCGGGGAGAGCUGAGGAGCCGCGGGGCGGCGUGGUUGGGGCACGCGCCCAUCGGAGCCGUCGCGAUGACGGCCGCAGCGCCCCGCGGUCUGUUUCCAUCACCGCCGGCGCUGUACGAUGGGUGGCGGGGAGGCUGCUGCACCACGGCAGGCUUCAGGGUGGGGUUUUGUUCGUGUUUUUGACCCGCUGCAGAUUAAGCGACGCGAGCAGCUGCUCCUGGCUCGGCCUGCAGCCGGCUACAUCCUGCAGCACCAGGACGGGGCGGGAAGCGUUACUGGAUUGCAAGUGAAUGCAACAGAAUGGAAAAGAAAAAGGGAAGGAAAAGAAUAAAUUCCCAGUAGCCUGGUAGUUGAGAAUGGGCAGCCUGGGGAGUGAGAAGUGCUGCGGGAGCAGUGGGCCCCUGCUCCGAUGUGGAGAAGCAGAACAGCUGGAGACUGCUCAGAGAGGCAAUGGAUGGAGUCUCCUAUAGUGGGGAAAGCUUGAAACAUGGAACCUUUGGCAGCAGAAGGGCUCCUUCUCCCUUACAUCUGAAAUUACAGAACCAGUGCUAACCGUAACAGUCAAGAGGAACAAGCUCCAGGCUCUAAGGAAGAUCUUAGGGCCCCCUGGGCUGAUGGUGCAUUAACACCCUGAGAAAGGGCACGUUGGACACCCAUCUGCAGUUACGCAGGCAAUACCUGCUUGUGGGAUACGCUGUCACCAGAGGUUGGCUGCUAACAGACCCUGAUCCAGAAUGUUUCAGGGAGAGCACUAAGGCUUGUCCAGGCCUUGAACCCACCCUGCCCUCAUCCACAAACAGCAACGCUGGCUCAGGAGCCCAACAAAUUGAGAACAUUCAGGGGGCGGGGGUGAAGGACAAGGGACCUCAGGUCAUCUUCCUGACCUUACAGGUACAGAGGAAGGGUUGGGUAGAAGCAGAUUUAUCCUGCAUGCUAACUGCUAUGUGCUGCGUGUAUCAGAUCAGGAGUUUGUGCCUUCAAAUAAACCACCACGGCCAUUUUCCUCACUGAGGUUCUUCAAGACAAGGACAAAACCCCUCUAUCUCUCUUGGGUAAACUAAAUAUAGUGAGUCCUUGUGGCCACCCACUAUAACACAGUUUUAACUACACCUUCAAUCUCUUUACACGUCUCUUCUGAACACUUUUUCAUACUCCAGAGGGCUUCUUGAAGUAUAGCUAUCUGAAAUGGAACCUGUGUUACAUUAAAACGUAGUCAUUUCCCAAGAAUGGCAUCCUUCUUGGGCCCUGUUUUCAUUCCUUUAUUACCACAAUCCUAAAGGCCAUUUGCACCUGUACAAAUUUGUCCUUGUUUAUUUCUCACUAUAUGAUCCUUGCAUGUUUCUCCGCUAAAAAUUAUCAAAAUUAUCGGAACCCAAUGUAUAAAUCAACUAUAUAAAGAGUCCAAAUUGGCUGGUAAAAUGUAACCCUACCCAAUAUUCAUCACUGCACUAAUUCUAUCAUCUUACGUGUCCUUCCACGUAUUUCCAGCUGCAUCCAAGGACUCGGAUUACUCUGUAACCUCAGUGCCAGCACAGCCCUGCUGCUGAUCUGUAAGCAGCAGGGUGUAAGCAAGUGUGUGAACCAGCCAAGAAAUAGAUACCACCCACCUGUGCACUGCAGCCCCAUGAGGUCUUCAGGGAGUGCACAGAACAGCAGCUUUCCCCAAAGGGAGCUCUGAGCCCCAGAAGAAGUACCUGAGCCUAUGAUACCUAAAAAAUCUUAUCACUGUCGCUGGCUUUACACAGAAAGAGAGUAAACAGAAGUGGGUGGUAAAGUAAGUGAAAGCUGUAACAAAAAUCUGUACAGUGUGUUAUCACAAGGUGGUACUUGGAGGUAAUACUGGAAUGAAAUGUGACAUAUGGGGCACAACUAUCUGAACCUCACCUGAUUUGGACUGAAAACAAAAACAAACAAAAAACAACCCACAAACAAAAAGGAAGCAGGAACCACAAAUAGCUUGCUAGGAAGACAAGAGCUGGUGCCAAACUGACAGUGCCUCAUUUAUGUUCUUACAACAAGUCCUGGAUUUUCAAUUAUCUUUCACUAUUGCUUCCUUGCUGGGCACCCAAGUGUCUCUGCUUUCAAAAUGGAGACAGUAUUAUCUACCGUCCCUACAAAGAGGAAAAAAAAAAAAAAACCUGAAGGAAUGGGCAUCUCUAUUCCUGGCCAACAGAGCUGCAUUUAUCAAAAUGAACACACAGCAUUAUAGGAGCCUUAACUCAUACCAAGUCUGUGUGACAUGAUAACAAGUGUCUAGUUAAUAGUCUGGCCUUCCUAUUAAGUUCAAAGUGAAGGAAAUCUUUGUGGGGCAGCAGAUAACGAGAGAUGAUGGUAAGGAAAUGCCUUUUAAAGAAAAGGAUGCACCCACCCCAGAAUUCGAACAGUUCUGUUGGAAGUGACCUACAGAGACCACCCAGUCCUGAGCGCUUCAGGGCUAACCAAAAGCUACAGCACGUCACUGAAGGCAUUAUCCAUCUGCCUCCUGAACACUGACAGGCACGGGGCAUUGACCAUCUCACCGGGAAGCCUGCUCCAGUGCCUGACCACCCUUUCAGCACAGAGAUUUUCCUAAUGUCCUGUCUGGGGCAGCUCUGUGCCAUUCCUGCACAUCCUGCCAGUGCUUCCAGGAGCAGAGCACAAAGCUGCACACAGUACUCAAGAUGUGGCUGCAUCUGCAUCAAACCCAGCAGGACAACCACCUCUGGUGACAGAAGGCUGUGCUGAGUUCAAUGCAAACCAAAAUGCAGUUGGCCCUCCUGGUGGCCAGGGCACGCUGCUGGACCACAGUGAGGCUGAUGGCAACACAGCCUUCUGAAUGCUGCCUGCUCCUCCCAGCUUAGGAUAUACAUAGAUAUAAAUAUCAGACAGUGGUACAUGUGCAUAUGCUCUUUCAUUGACCUGAAGUAACGUGACUUUCAUGCACACAUAUAUCCUAAAAAUAUGAGCAAUCAUCACGAAAAUAUGCACAGUACUUUUCUUUAAAGAGCAAAGUGCUCCAAACUGAAAAUACUACAUAGUAAGUAUUGAUGGCACUUCCAAGUCACUUACGUUUAAGAAGAAAAAUGAGAGUGAUGCAGGGGAGCUCAGUUAUCAGUCAUCAGUUAGGAGCACUUACUGGAAAUUAAAAAAAAAAAAGAAAAACACAAAACCACAACAAACAAUAACAAAAUCAUAAAAGAUUCUUCUUU
Gallus gallus (chicken) is the source of this 7246-nucleotide RNA transcript. RefSeq lists it as uncharacterized. Lineage: Eukaryota; Metazoa; Chordata; Aves; Galliformes; Phasianidae. The record is from RefSeq and is a predicted model, not a curated record. The transcript has 2 exons.